GAUGAACGCUGGCGGCGUGCUUAACACAUGCAAGUCGAACGAAGCACUUUAUUUGAUUUCCUUCGGGACUGAUUAUUUUGUGACUGAGUGGCGGACGGGUGAGUAACGCGUGGGUAACCUGCCUUGUACAGGGGGAUAACAGUUGGAAACGGCUGCUAAUACCGCAUAAGCGCACAGCAUCGCAUGAUGCAGUGUGAAAAACUCCGGUGGUAUAAGAUGGACCCGCGUUGGAUUAGCUAGUUGGUGAGGUAACGGCCCACCAAGGCGACGAUCCAUAGCCGACCUGAUAGGGUGACCGGCCACAUUGGGACUGAGACACGGCCCAAACUCCUACGGGAGGCAGCAGUGGGGAAUAUUGCACAAUGGGCGAAAGCCUGAUGCGGCGACGCCGCGUGAGCGAAGAAGUAUUUCGGUAUGUAAAGCUCUAUCAGCAGGGAAGAUAAUGACGUUACCUGACUAAGAAGCACCGGCUAAAUACGUG
Molecule: ribosomal RNA, 481 nt
Filed under: uncultured bacterium
Lineage: Bacteria
Description: partial 16S ribosomal RNA
Rfam family: Bacterial small subunit ribosomal RNA
Source: RNAcentral